GAAGAGCCAAAAGUGGACCAAGCUUGGUUUUUUACUGUCAGCCCUGUUUGAUUUAGGAUUCAUGUUUCCAUGAUGUCAUCGUACGGAUCUUCCAUGAAUGCACCCAAACACCAUUAUGUGACUUGUAGCCUUACUAAGUGAAAUUAUAGGGUGUCCAGAUACAAGAAUAGGCUUUGAGCUGAUCUGAAUCCUAGCAAUGUUUAUCUACUUAAUGUGCUUGUGUCUCUAUAUGUGAUCU
Molecule: long non-coding RNA, 238 nt
Organism: Nanorana parkeri
Lineage: Eukaryota; Metazoa; Chordata; Amphibia; Anura; Dicroglossidae
Exons: 3
Source: RefSeq, a predicted model, not a curated record